CAGUAGCCGCGGGAAUACGUAGGGUGCAAGCGUUAAUCGGAAUUACUGGGCGUAAAGCGUGCGCAGGCGGUUAUAUAAGACAGUCGUGAAAUCCCCGGGCUCAACCUGGGAACUGCGAUUGUGACUGUAUGGCUAGAGUGUGUCAGAGGGGGGUAGAAUUCCACGUGUAGCAGUGAAAUGCGUAGAUAUGUGGAGGAAUACCGAUGGCGAAGGCAGCCCCCUGGGAUAACACUGACGCUCAUGCACGAAAGCGUGGGGAGCAAACAGGAUUAGAGACCCCAGUAGUCCCUGUCUCUUAUAC
RNAcentral lists this ribosomal RNA (301 nucleotides) under uncultured bacterium. Its description in RNAcentral is "partial 16S ribosomal RNA". It matches the Rfam family "Bacterial small subunit ribosomal RNA", at positions 509 to 807 of the family's 1533-position model. The record is from RNAcentral.